This is a small nuclear RNA of Manis javanica (Malayan pangolin), 102 nucleotides long. The record is from RefSeq and is a predicted model, not a curated record. NCBI's taxonomy places the organism in Eukaryota, Metazoa, Chordata, Mammalia, Pholidota, Manidae.
GUGCUCCCUUUCACAGCACAUAUAUGGAAUUGGAAUGAUAUGGAGAUUAGCAUGGGUCCUGUGCAAGGAUGACACACAGUUCAAGAAGCAUUCUAUAUCAUA